RNAcentral lists this ribosomal RNA (312 nucleotides) under Sonorella sp. 1 KFW-2010. RNAcentral describes it as "partial 12S ribosomal RNA". The record is from RNAcentral. Lineage: Eukaryota; Metazoa; Mollusca; Gastropoda; Stylommatophora; Helminthoglyptidae.
AGCAGAGCACUAACACCAUCAGGUAGAAACUUAAACAACAUGGCGGUAACUAUAAAUAUUAGGGGAACUUACCAUAUAAAUGAUAACCCCCACGUAAACUAACUUUAAGUAAUAUUUUGUAUGCCGCCGUCGUCAGGUAAAAUUUAAAAUCUUUACCUUAAAAUUAUCUAUAAAAAGACAGGUCAAGGUGCAAACAAUCUUAAAGAUAUGGCGAGUUACAUUAGCAAUUUACUUCCAUACGGCAUGGAAAACCUUCUACUGGGCGGACUUAAAAGUAAGGUAUAAUAAACUUAUUAACUGAAUAUAUGUGUA